UUAUCCUGCAGUGUCUGUGAUAAUCCUGUGUCUGUGAAAUUGCAAUCUGUUGCCAUGGAAAUGGAUGGGAUGCCACAAUUGUAUGUAGCACUAGGACUUCACUUCAAGAUCAAGGAUGAGGAGAUGAGUU
Non-coding RNA from Podarcis lilfordi (Lilford's wall lizard), 130 nucleotides. NCBI's taxonomy places the organism in Eukaryota, Metazoa, Chordata, Lepidosauria, Squamata, Lacertidae. The record is from the annotation of a GenBank genome assembly.